This 72-nucleotide transfer RNA is filed under the name Camelus bactrianus (Bactrian camel). It matches the Rfam family "tRNA". From Rfam's summary of the family: Transfer RNA (tRNA) molecules are approximately 80 nucleotides in length. Their secondary structure includes four short double-helical elements and three loops (D, anti-codon, and T loops). Further hydrogen bonds mediate the characteristic L-shaped molecular structure. tRNAs have two regions of fundamental functional importance: the anti-codon, which is responsible for specific mRNA codon recognition, and the 3' end, to which the tRNAs corresponding amino acid is attached (by aminoacyl-tRNA synthetases). tRNAs cope with the degeneracy of the genetic code in two manners: having more than one tRNA (with a specific anti-codon) for a particular amino acid; and 'wobble' base-pairing, i.e. permitting non-standard base-pairing at the 3rd anti-codon position. Lineage: Eukaryota; Metazoa; Chordata; Mammalia; Artiodactyla; Camelidae. RNAcentral also lists the same sequence under 2 other names. The record is from Rfam by way of RNAcentral.
GGGGGUAUAGCUCAAUUGUAGAACAUGUGCUUAGCAUGCACAAGGCCCUGGGUUCAAUUCCCAGUACCUCCA